Molecule: ribosomal RNA, 119 nt
Filed under: Aotus nancymaae (Ma's night monkey)
Lineage: Eukaryota; Metazoa; Chordata; Mammalia; Primates; Aotidae
Source: RNAcentral
GUCUACGGCCAUACCACCCUGAACGCACCCAAUCUCGUCUGAUCUCGGAAGCUAAGCAGGGUCGGGCCUGGUUAGUACUUGGAUGGGAGACCUCCUGGGAAUACCAGGUGCUGUAGGCU